UGGGGAAUAUUGGACAAUGGGCGCAAGCCUGAUCCAGCAAUGCCGCGUGUGUGAAGAAGGCCUUCGGGUUGUAAAGCACUUUUAUCAGGAGCGAAACGCUGUCGGCUAAUACCCGGCGGAACUGACGGUACCUGAGGAAUAAGCACCGGCUAACUUCGUGCCAGCAGCCGCGGUAAUACGAAGGGUGCAAGCGUUAAUCGGAAUUACUGGGCGUAAAGCGUGCGUAGGCGGUUUCUUAAGUCUGCUGUGAAAUCCCCGGGCUCAACCUGGGAAUGGCAGUGGAUACUGGGAGGCUAGAGUGUGUCAGAGGGUGGUGGAAUUCCCGGUGUAGCGGUGAAAUGCGUAGAGAUCGGGAGGAACAUCAGUGGCGAAGGCGGCCACCUGGGACAACACUGACGCUGAGGCACGAAAGCGUGGGGAGCAAACAGGAUUAGAUACCCUGGUAGUCCACGCCCUAAACGAUGCGAACUGGAUGUUGGUCUCAACUCGGAGAUCAGUGUCGAAGCUAACGCGUUAAGUUCGCCGCCCUGGGGAGUACGGGUCGCAAGACUGAAACUUAAAUGAAUGACGGGGGUCAUAGCUGUUUCCUG
Molecule: ribosomal RNA, 590 nt
Filed under: uncultured bacterium
Lineage: Bacteria
Description: partial 16S ribosomal RNA
Rfam family: Bacterial small subunit ribosomal RNA
Source: RNAcentral